AUGCUCCCUUUGGCAACACAUACACUAAAAUUGGAACAAUAGAGAGAAGAUUAACACGGCCCCUGUGCAAGGAUGACAUGCAAAUUUGUGAAGCAUUCCAUAUUUUU
This is a small nuclear RNA of Kogia breviceps (pygmy sperm whale), 107 nucleotides long. NCBI's taxonomy places the organism in Eukaryota, Metazoa, Chordata, Mammalia, Artiodactyla, Physeteridae. The record is from RefSeq and is a predicted model, not a curated record.